AUGAGGGAGAGGGACACGGAAGCUGGCAGACAGGAAUGCCCUGCCCGUGCCUCGCCCCCGCCUCCUCUUCCAGACCUCACCCCCAAAGCACAGAACCAGAAGGGCCGAGGAGCCCGCGAGUUCGGACGCACGCGGCCCAGGGCCGGAGGAGGGGCGGGAGGGCGAAUGGGGAGGGGGAGGGUCUCCCCCUCCCCCUUUCCUCUCUCCGUGUCAAAAAGAAAAGAAGAAAAAAAGAGCGGUUCAAACGCGUCCCCUCCCCCGCCCCCCAGGCCGGGAGAGGGUGGGGGACGACCACGCUACGGGGUCUAUACAGGCCUUUGGAUGAAGCUACCGGCUAUUUGGUGUGAGGUUUCUCGGGCCCUGUCCCUUUUGGUUUCUGGAAAAGAAAAAUCCACAGGUUGUGCCCUCCCCCGACCCCCCACCCCCACCCCUUCCUCCCCCACCCUCCGGGGCCCGGCACGUUCUCCUUUUCCACUGGGUAGGUGGGGGCCCCGGAGCCCCUGGGCGUCAGCUGGGAGCGGGAGCGCGGCGGAGGCGGCCCGUCUCCGGGGAGGGAGGGAGACGCGGCUAUUUGGUGUUAUAGCGGUGAGCGGUGAGCGCACGAAGGUCUGGCUCUGGACUGGGUUUUUUGGUUUCGUUUUUUGGUUUCUUCCGUUCGCCCCGGCUCAGUCUGGGCGGCUGGUUAUGUCUGUUUCUAUUUGGCUUUCCUUUCUUUUUGUUUGGUUUGCUCUUCCGGGGGGGCUUUGGGUGUCUCCUCCGCGCCUUCUCCGGCUCCGGACCCUCACCUCGAUCCCCCGCCGCUGUCCCCUGCCGCCAGGGGAGACCAGAGGGGGCCGGGGGGAUAGUGGCUGGGAAAGGCGGAGGAGAGGCUUCAUUCCGAUUUGGCCCCUGCCUCAGGCCCUCCGGGGGUCUGUGCUGCUGUCUCGAUGCAAGAGGAGGAGGAGGAGGAGGAAGAGGAAGAAGAGGAGGAAGAGGAGGAGGACGAGGACGAGGAGGAGGAGAGGCCUGGGGACUUGGUGGAGAUGGAGGCUGCCACGGCGGCCGCGGCUGCCGAUACGAGGCCCACCCCCGGGGGGGCACUGA
Molecule: long non-coding RNA, 1083 nt
Filed under: Monodelphis domestica (gray short-tailed opossum)
Lineage: Eukaryota; Metazoa; Chordata; Mammalia; Didelphimorphia; Didelphidae
Description: lncRNA (ENSMODG00000029732.2)
Source: RNAcentral